This 279-nucleotide ribosomal RNA is filed under the name uncultured bacterium. RNAcentral's name for it is "partial 16S ribosomal RNA". It matches the Rfam family "Bacterial small subunit ribosomal RNA", at positions 506 to 784 of the family's 1533-position model. The record is from RNAcentral.
UGCCAGCCGCCGCGGUAAUACGGAGGGUGCAAGCGUUGCUCGGAAUCACUGGGCGUAAAGCGCACGCAGGCGGUUCAGCAAGUCGGAUGUGAAAUCCCAGGGCUCAACCCUGGAACUGCAUCCGAAACUGCUGGACUUGAGUACGAGAGAGGGUGGCGGAAUUCCCAGUGUAGAGGUGAAAUUCGUAGAUAUUGGGAGGAACAUCAGUGGCGAAGGCGGCCACCUGGCUCGAUACUGACGCUCAUGUGCGAAAGCGUGGGGAGCAAACAGGAUUAGAUA